Long non-coding RNA from Poeciliopsis prolifica (blackstripe livebearer), 748 nucleotides. RefSeq lists it as uncharacterized. The record is from RefSeq and is a predicted model, not a curated record. Lineage: Eukaryota; Metazoa; Chordata; Actinopteri; Cyprinodontiformes; Poeciliidae. The transcript has 4 exons.
CGCAGCGACGCUUUGGACGGAGCUCUACCACGAGGCUGGCGGCGUGGUUGAAUUCAAACCGUUCAGAACCUGUUUGGGUCGCAGACCGAUGACUUUCAGACUACCUGACUUCGGUUCCGAUCCAGUUCUAGUCUGGCGGGGAGGCUUCCACACAAUUUCCUGUGGCCUUUCUCUGCUGUUCCGGGGAGCAGUGACUGAAGUACCGCAGGAUGCUAACUGCUAGCAAAGGCCAGCUACAUCAACUGGACCGGGCCGAUGUGUUGGAACCAGCCGGUCCUGGGUUCUUCUCCAGGGUCCAGUUCCUGCAGCGGUUCUGCUGAACCUGUCCUGGUUCUGCAGAACUGAUGUGUGACGUGGAGCGCCGCCCACCUGGAAGUGAUGUAACAAAAGGCCGACUGAAGCUCCGCCCCCAGCAGUCUGUUCACAGAGGCGGGGCUGUGACAUAACCGGACCGGGCGUGUUCUGAUCCGGGCUGGUCGGCGCUCCCCGAUUCCUCACCUGACCCACCUUUGUGAUGUGACUCUGUUGCACAGGAAGCAAAACUCGGCCUGAUUUACAUCUGGAGCUGCAGCGCCUCCUGCUGGCUGGAGGUCUCCUGGGAUACAAAGCAGCAGAUGGAGAACUAAUUGGAACAACACACUGAAGCAAACUGACUGCUGAUCGUGUCACCCUGGGAGCCAAUAGGAAGCCAGCUUUUAGGGCUCAGCUGAUGACUCUCCCCCUCAGGCUGGCUCCUCUUCUAGAAUAA